AGUUGGUAGGGUAGCGGCCUACCAAGGCAACGAUCAGUAGCCGGCCUGAGAGGGUGGACGGCCACACUGGGACUGAGAACGGCCCAGACUCCUACGGGAGGCAGCAGUGGGGAAUAUUGCGCAAUGGGGGAAACCCUGACGCAGCGACGCCGCGUGAGCGAAGAAGGCCUUCGGGUUGUAAAGCUCUGUUGUAAGGGACGAAAGAUCAAGGGAGUAACUGCCCUUGAAGUGACGGUACCUUACCAGCAAGCCCCGGCUAACUACGUGCCAGCAGCCGCGGUAAGACGUAGGGGGCGAGCGUUGUCCGGAAUUACUGGGCGUAAAGAGCACGUAGGCGGAUGUAUAAGUCAGGUGUGAAAGACCGCAGCCUAACUGCGGGGUUGCACUUGAAACUGUAUAUCUUGAGGGCAGGAGAGGUUAGUAGAAUUCCUGGUGUAGCGGUGAAAUGCGUAGAAAUCAGGAGGAAUACCAGUGGCGAAGGCGACUGACUGGACUGACCCUGACGCUGAGGUGCGAAAGCGUGGGUAGCAAACAGGAUUAGAUACCCUGGUAGUCCACGCCGUAAACGAUGGAUACUAGGUGUGGGAGGUAUCG
RNAcentral lists this ribosomal RNA (594 nucleotides) under uncultured bacterium. RNAcentral's name for it is "bacterial SSU rRNA". It matches the Rfam family "Bacterial small subunit ribosomal RNA", at positions 247 to 834 of the family's 1533-position model. The record is from RNAcentral.